Non-coding RNA from Corylus avellana, 304 nucleotides. The record is from RefSeq and is a predicted model, not a curated record. NCBI's taxonomy places the organism in Eukaryota, Viridiplantae, Streptophyta, Magnoliopsida, Fagales, Betulaceae.
GAUCCUGAUCGACGGGUGCCUUUACCAACGCUUUCUUUUUUCUCUCACGUGUGCUUUUGUUUCCCUCUCUGAGUCUGAAGUGAAAAGCAGAGAGUAGCCUUCAGUUGAAGGGAAGCGGUUUUCCGAGAGCCGUUUUCCGAGAAAUACGAGAGAGAGAGAGAGCUCCGGAAACCGUAGGAGUCCUUCGUCCAUCUCCCUCUCUCUCAGUUCGGCUGCUGCAAAUUCUCCCCAACGACUUCAAAUCUGGCCGUUGUGAGCUCCAGCACUAGGAAAUCUCCACAAAAACCCAGACGACCCUAAAAGG